This 429-nucleotide ribosomal RNA is filed under the name Gemmatimonadota bacterium. Its description in RNAcentral is "Gemmatimonadetes bacterium partial 16S ribosomal RNA". It matches the Rfam family "Bacterial small subunit ribosomal RNA", at positions 355 to 776 of the family's 1533-position model. The record is from RNAcentral. Lineage: Bacteria; Pseudomonadati; Gemmatimonadota.
CAGGGAAUCUUCGGCAAUGGACGAAAGUCUGACCGAGCAACGCCGCGUGAGUGAAGAAGGUUUUCGGAUCGUAAAACUCUGUUGUUAGAGAAGAACAAGGACGUUAGUAACUGAACGUCCCCUGACGGUAUCUAACCAGAAAGCCACGGCUAACUACGUGCCAGCAGCCGCGGUAAUACGUAGGUGGCAAGCGUUGUCCGGAUUUAUUGGGCGUAAAGCGAGCGCAGGCGGUUUCUUAAGUCUGAUGUGAAAGACCCCGGCUCAACCGGGGAGGGUCAUUAGAAAAUGGGAUACUUGAGUGCAAAGGAGGGGAGUGGAAUUCCAGGUGUAGCGGUAAAAUGCGUAGAUAUAUGGAGGACCACCAGUGGCGAAGGCGGGUCUCUGGUCUGUAACUGACGCUGAGGCUCGAAAGGGUGGGGAGCAAACAGG